RNAcentral lists this ribosomal RNA (436 nucleotides) under uncultured bacterium. RNAcentral's name for it is "partial 16S ribosomal RNA". It matches the Rfam family "Bacterial small subunit ribosomal RNA", at positions 29 to 507 of the family's 1533-position model. The record is from RNAcentral.
AACGAACGCUGGCGGCAUGCGUAACACAUGCAAGUCGAACGAGAUCCUUCGGGGUCUAGUGGCGCACGGGUGCGUAACGCGUGGGAAUCUGCCCUUAGGUUCGGAAUAACAGUUAGAAAUGACUGCUAAUACCGGAUGAUGACGUUAAGUCCAAAGAUUUAUCGCCUGAGGAUGAGCCCGCGUAGGAUUAGCUAGUUGGUGUGGUAAAGGCGCACCAAGGCGACGAUCCUUAGCUGGUCUGAGAGGAUGAUCAGCCACACUGGGACUGAGACACGGCCCAGACUCCUACGGGAGGCAGCAGUGGGGAAUAUUGGACAAUGGGCGCAAGCCUGAUCCAGCAAUGCCGCGUGAGUGAUGAAGGCCUUAGGGUUGUAAAGCUCUUUUACCCGGGAUGAUAAUGACAGUACCGGGAGAAUAAGCCCCGGCUAACUCCGUG